ACCCUACGGGUGGCUGCAGUGGGGAAUAUUGCGCAAUGGGGGAAACCCUGACGCAGCGACGCCGCGUGAAGGAAGAAGGCCUUCGGGUUGUAAACUUCUUUGAUCGGGGACGAAGGAAGACGGUACCCGAGGAACAAGCCACGGCUAACUACGUGCCAGCAGCCGCGGUAAUACGUAGGUGGCGAGCGUUGUCCGGAAUUACUGGGCGUAAAGGGCGUGUAGGCGGGGGGACAAGUCAGAUGUGAAAUACUGCAGCUUAACUGCGGGGCUGCAUCUGAAACUGUUCUUCUUGAGUGUCGGAGAGGAAAGUGGAAUUCCCAGUGUAGCGGUGAAAUGCGUAGAGAUUGGGAGGAACACCAGUGGCGAAGGCGGCUUUCUGGACGACAACUGACGCUGAGGCGCGAAAGCGUGGGGAGCAAACAGGAUUAGAUACCCCAGUAGUCUG
RNAcentral lists this ribosomal RNA (445 nucleotides) under uncultured Clostridium sp. RNAcentral's name for it is "bacterial SSU rRNA". It matches the Rfam family "Bacterial small subunit ribosomal RNA", at positions 335 to 797 of the family's 1533-position model. The record is from RNAcentral. Lineage: Bacteria; Bacillati; Bacillota; Clostridia; Eubacteriales; Clostridiaceae.